RNAcentral lists this ribosomal RNA (301 nucleotides) under uncultured bacterium. Its description in RNAcentral is "partial 16S ribosomal RNA". It matches the Rfam family "Bacterial small subunit ribosomal RNA", at positions 509 to 807 of the family's 1533-position model. The record is from RNAcentral.
CAGCCGCCGCGGUAAUACGUAGGUGGCAAGCGUUGUCCGGAAUUAUUGGGCGUAAAGCGCGCGCAGGUGGUUUAAUAAGUCUGAUGUGAAAGCCCACGGCUCAACCGUGGAGGGUCAUUGGAAACUGUUAAACUUGAGUGCAGGAGGGAAAAGUGGAAUUCCUAGUGUAGCGGUGAAAUGCGUAGAGAUUAGGAGGAGCACCAGUGGCGAAGGCGGCUUUUUGGCCUGUAACUGACACUGAGGCGCGAAAGCGUGGGGAGCAAACAGGAUUAGAUACCCCCGUAGUCCCUGUCUCUUAUAC